Molecule: ribosomal RNA, 492 nt
Filed under: uncultured bacterium
Lineage: Bacteria
Description: partial 16S ribosomal RNA
Rfam family: Bacterial small subunit ribosomal RNA
Source: RNAcentral
AGUGAACGCUGGCGGUAGGCCUAACACAUGCAAGUCGAACGGCAGCACAGUAAGAGCUUGCUCUUACGGGUGGCGAGUGGCGGACGGGUGAGGAAUACACCGGAAUCUACUUUUUCGUGGGGGAUAACGUAGGGAAACUUACGCUAAUACCGCAUACGACCUACGGGUGAAAGCAGGGGAUCUUCGGACCUUGCGCGAUUGAAUGAGCCGAUAUCGGAUUAGCUAGUUGGCGGGGUAAAGGCCCACCAAGGCGACGAUCCGUAGCUGGUCUGAGAGGAUGAUCAGCCACACUGGAACUGAGACACGGUCCAGACUCCUACGGGAGGCAGCAGUGGGGAAUAUUGGACAAUGGGCGCAAGCCUGAUCCAGCCAUACCGCGUGGGUGAAGAAGGCCUUCGGGUUGUAAAGCCCUUUUGUUGGGAAAGAAAAGCAGCAGGUUAAUACCCCGCUGUUCUGACGGUACCCAAAGAAUAAGCACCGGCUAACUUCGUG